RNAcentral lists this long non-coding RNA (2709 nucleotides) under Homo sapiens (human). RNAcentral describes it as "HSALNT0077227". The record is from RNAcentral. Lineage: Eukaryota; Metazoa; Chordata; Mammalia; Primates; Hominidae.
GUUUUACCAUGUUGGCCAGGCUGGUCUCGAACUUCUGACCUCAGGUGAUCCGCCUGCCUCGGCCUCCCAGAGUGCUGGGAUUACAGGCAUGAGCCAGUGUGCCUGGCCUGAUGGGGAAUUUUCUCACAUUAUUUCUUUGAUAAUUUCUUCCAUGAUAUCGUCUUUUCUCUCUUUCUGGGAAUCCUGUUAGUCACAUGCUGCAUCUCCUAGACAUUUUUUUUCUCCAAAUUUUCAUCCCUUUUCCUUUUAUUCUGAGGAUCUUAGUAUUGCCUUCUCUAUAAGGUUUUAAGUUGCCUUAUAAAUGCAGUUUUUCCCCCUAUUGUUAUCAGAAGGAUGGCUAUGGUCCCCCACGAGUGGAGAUGGGAAUUGGAAAGUUUGACUUGGAAGCAUUCUGAAUUUUCCCCUCACUUGUAGCUAGUCAUCACCCACAUGGUUCUAGUUUUCCAUGUGAUUUGACACAACUGAAGUUCAGUGGCUCCUUGGAUUGCUGAAAUGAAAUGGAGGCCUUCUUUGCAACCUGAGCUCUUCUAGCUUUCUGUUUCUCUGUGUCUUAGAACAGAAGUUCAUGUUUUGGGUCAGUAAUGUAAGUAAGAAAUUGAAGAAGUAGAUGAUUACAAAUGAAUAACCUGUUGUUAGUAGUGUACAUAGGGUGGUUUUAGAUCUAUGUAGAUCAUGAUGAUUUGGUUGUGUGGCUUCGGCAGCCAACCACCUAAAUUACUUGAAUGAAGCUUCUUUCCUGAAAGGAGCUUGGAUUCAUCUGAAUUUCAGAGUACUUUCAUUUGAAUAUCCUGUCAGCAUAAUUCAAAUUUUAAAAUGCUUGCUUGGGUAUUGUAUUUUUUAAAUAGAAUUUUAGCAUUUAACAACAUAAACCAAAAUAAUCUUCUCCUUCCACCUCUCCACUGAACCUGUAGAGAGUCAAGGCCUUGUCUGAGUCCUGUGUUCUUGCCCUCCCUGUGGCUGCUGGUUCUAACCCAACUCCAGCCCCUUAGCAAGUGCUCUCCUCCUUUGAGCCUGUGCUGCUAUUACACACCAGGCUCGCCCAUUUCCUAGGGUGUCUCUUGCUGCCUUCCAUCCCCCUCCACUUCACCCUAACCCUCUUCCUCUUUCUCGCACUCUCUCAUUUGGUGUUUCUCAGUGGGGUUUGUGGAUGUCCCGCAUCAGAACCACCUGGGGUCUGGCCAGGCCGACUGGAUCUGAAAGGGGUGGGAGCUGCAGAGGGGUCUGUUUGUUUUUCAAGCCCUCCUGGAGAUUCUCUCACCAGAGUUCAAGAGGCACUGCUCUAAUUUUUUUUUUCUUCUUUUAGAGGCUGGGUCUCACUAUGUUGCUUAGGCUGGUCUUGAACUCCUGGCCUCAAGCUAUUGUCCGGCCUCAGUCUCUGAGUGGUUGGGAUUACAGGCAGAACAACUGUGCCCGGCUCACACUGCUCUAAUUCCUGAUACCCACCCAGCUAAGUUCCUGAUUCUGCUUUACACCCUUUGCCCUUUCUCUUAGGGAGUUCAUACUCUCCAGCAGGCUUUGUUCUUCUGCUACCCAGAGGCCCCCCUCCAGCUCCCACCUCUUAUCUAGCAUCCAGCCUUCUAUUUGCAGUUAUUCCCAGGGAAUCUCCUGCAUGCUGGGUGUGACCACCCACACUUGUCAUCUCUUGGAACAACAUCCCCAGGAGACAGGUCUCUUGAGGAGGGACAUGGAUUUCCCAACGUAUAUCUGACUACUACACAUCUCUGUUCAGAAGAAUACAGACAUCUAUCUGCAAAAGAUCGUGGCCUUAAAAUUGGUUUAAAGCAUGUAUUACUUCCUGCCAGUUCCUGUAUGUGCUCGUGAUUGGGGGAUAAGAUUAACUGCAUCCUGCCUCCUAUAUCUAUAAUGUUAGGCAUUUGACAUUUAUGGAGAUAACAUUGGCAGCUUCAUCUGUUCAUAAGGCAUCCUUAAAGGUCCAUCAUAUUAUAAUUUGCAAUAUCCAUGGCACCCAAAACUCUGAAAUUUCAUCUUGUGUGUGGCAGCAAGCCCUUGUGCAGUGAAUAAACUACCCAGCCACCUUAGUGGUCACACCUCAGCACAACUGUUGUUCUUCACACAUCCUGAUAGAUGCAGCCAGUACUCUGCUGGAGUGAUCAACAUUUGGUUCCUUUGUGAAAAGUGACCUCUAAACAAAGUCACUUGACUUUCUUCGAUGGAAAUGACAAAUGAAGGCUGAAGAUAUGAAAGUUCUUAGUGAGAAAAUAUUUUUACACACUUUUAAAUUCUGUAUUUUAAAUUUCAUUAACUUAUUAACAGGCCUAAGGCUGGGCACAGUGGCUCACACCUGUAAUCCCAGUGCUUUGGGAGGCCAAAGUGGGAGGAUCGCUUGAGCCCAGGAGGUUGAGACCAGCUUGGGCAACAUAGUGAGACCCCCUCUCUACAAAAAAUAAGAUGUAGCUAGGCAUGAUGGCGAGUGCCUGUAGUUUCAGCUACUUGAGAGGCUGAGGUGGGAGGAUUGCUUGAGCCUAGAGUUCAAGGUUGCAGUGAGCUAUGAUUGCACGACUGCUGCACUCCAGCCUGGGUAACAGAGUGAGACUCUGUCUCUUAAAAAAAAAAAAAAAACAAAGAACAAAAACCUACAGGGUCACUUACACCUAGACUUUUCAAAUAUACUUUCCUAUAAGGAAGAGGAUGUUAUGUGAUAGUGAUAUUUGAAAAUUUGAAAAUUUUUAUGUUACAUGAACUGCUUGG